Molecule: ribosomal RNA, 497 nt
Filed under: Globigerinita minuta
Lineage: Eukaryota; Foraminifera; Rotaliida; Globigerinitidae
Description: SSU rRNA
Rfam family: Eukaryotic small subunit ribosomal RNA
Source: RNAcentral
CUUACCGGGUCCGGACACACUGAGGAUUGACAGACAUACCUUUGCCACUACAAUAAAAAGCAACCUCUAAGCCAUAUGCGCAAGCGGUCACUUCAAAAAGCAGCAGCACUUAAGGAAAGACGCUAGAUCUUUCAUGAUUAUGUGAUAAGUGGUGCAUGGCCGUUCUUAGUUCGUGGAGUGAUCUGUCUGCUUAAUUGCGUUUCGCAAUAUAUAAAUCUGCGCAGUGCCCUUUUUCGCUGGGUGCGGCGUAAGAUCUCGAAAGCAACGAACGAGAUCGCAACCUUUAGUUGACCUAUGUAGCGGGUCAUAAGAAACUAAACUAAAGGGACUGCUGCCAUAUGUGCUUAAACCAGAGGAAGGUUGCGGCAAUAACAGGUCUGUGAUGCCCUUAGAUGUUCCGGGCUGCACACGUGCUACAAUGAUCAUUUCAUUAAGCAUAAAGCGUAGGCAACGGUAACUUCUAUUACCCCAGCUAUACACAAGCGCAUUGAGAUGUG